Molecule: ribosomal RNA, 368 nt
Filed under: uncultured organism
Description: bacterial SSU rRNA
Rfam family: Bacterial small subunit ribosomal RNA
Source: RNAcentral
CGGAGGAUCCAAGCGUUAUCCGGAUUUAUUGGGUUUAAAGGGUGCGUAGGCGGCUUAUUAAGUCAGGGGUGAAAGACGGUGGCUCAACCAUCGCAGUGCCCUUGAUACUGAUGAGCUUGAAUGAACUAGAGGUAGGCGGAAUGUGACAAGUAGCGGUGAAAUGCAUAGAUAUGUCACAGAACACCGAUUGCGAAGGCAGCUUACUAUGGUUUUAUUGACGCUGAGGCACGAAAGCGUGGGGAUCAAACAGGAUUAGAUACCCUGGUAGUCCACGCCCUAAGCGAUGAAUACUCGCUGUUAGCGAUAUACAGUUAGCGGCUAAGCGAAAGCGUUAAGUAUUCCACCUGGGGAGUACGCCCGCAAGGGUG